CCUACGGGUGGCAGCAGUGGGGAAUAUUGCACAAUGGGGGAAACCCUGAUGCAGCGACGCCGCGUGAGUGAAGAAGUAUUUCGGUAUGUAAACCUCUAUCAGCAGGGAAGAAAAUGACCGUACCUGACUAAGAAACCCCCGCUAACUACGUGCCAGCAGCCGCGGUAAUACGUAGGGGGCAAGCGUUAUCCGGAUUUACUGGGGUUUAAGGGGGCGUAGGCGGGGCAGCAAGUCAGAAGUGAAAGCCCGGGGCUCAACUCCGGGACUGCGUUUGAAACUGUUGAACUAGAUUGCCGGAGAGGUAAGUGGAAUUCCUAGUGUAGCGGUGAAAUGCGUAGAUAUUAGGAGGAACACCAGUGGCGAAGGCGGCUUACUGGACUGUAAAUGACGCUGAGGCUCGAAAGCGUGGGGAGCAAACAGGAUUAGAUACCCUGGUAGUC
This 440-nucleotide ribosomal RNA is filed under the name uncultured bacterium. RNAcentral describes it as "partial 16S ribosomal RNA". It matches the Rfam family "Bacterial small subunit ribosomal RNA", at positions 338 to 795 of the family's 1533-position model. The record is from RNAcentral.